Mus musculus (house mouse) is the source of this 308-nucleotide non-coding RNA. The record is from Rfam. Lineage: Eukaryota; Metazoa; Chordata; Mammalia; Rodentia; Muridae.
UUCGUGCCGGUUUAGCGGUUCUGCGACCCAAAGAGUCCAGGGAGAUCCACCGAGUGGUGCCUGGCGUAUAGGACUAUGCAGCCGCCUUGUGGCUCGGAGCAGCGGCCCGCGAUGUCCCAGCCACUGUGAACCAUUUGGUCAGCGCCAACCUGCUCAGCCCCAGCACCGACAGGCUCAGCCUCUGGUACGCUCCACUCCGCGGGAGGCCACCAGCACCAAGCAGCAAGAGGGCGCAGGGAAGGCCUCCCCCCUCCGGCGGGGGACGCCUGGCUCAGCGUAGGGACACGCACUCCGACUGACUGGCACUG